This 375-nucleotide ribosomal RNA is filed under the name uncultured bacterium. Its description in RNAcentral is "bacterial SSU rRNA". It matches the Rfam family "Bacterial small subunit ribosomal RNA", at positions 521 to 896 of the family's 1533-position model. The record is from RNAcentral.
UAAUACGUAGGGUGCGAGCGUUAAUCGGAAUUACUGGGCGUAAAGAGUGCGUAGGCGGUUCUUUGUGUCCGCUGUGAAAGCCCCGGGCUUAACCUGGGAAUGGCAGUGGAAACUAGAGAACUUGAAUCUGGCAGAGGGGGGUGGAAUGCCACGUGUAGCAGUGAAAUGCGUAGAUAUGUGGCGGAACACCGAUGGCGAAGGCAGCCCCCUGGGCUGAGAUUGACGCUCAGGCACGAAAGCGUGGGGAGCAAACAGGAUUAGAUACCCUGGUAGUCCACGCCCUAAACGAUGUCAACUAGGUGUUGGGGAAGCGAUUUCCUAGUACCGCAGCUAACGCGUGAAGUUGACCGCCUGGGGAGUACGGUCGCAAGAUUA